RNAcentral lists this unclassified non-coding RNA (310 nucleotides) under plant metagenome. RNAcentral describes it as "partial contains 5.8S ribosomal RNA, internal transcribed spacer 2, and large subunit ribosomal RNA". The stretch from base 1 to 105 matches the Rfam family "5.8S ribosomal RNA", at positions 50 to 154 of the family's 154-position model. The record is from RNAcentral.
GAAAUGCGAUAAGUAGUGUGAAUUGCAGAAUUCAGUGAGUCAUCGAAUCUUUGAACGCACAUUGCGCCCCUUGGUAUUCCAUGGGGCAUGCCUGUUCGAGCGUCAUUUGUACCCUCAAGCUCUGCUUGGUGUUGGGUGUUUGUCCCCGUCUCCGCGCGUGGACUCGCCCCAAAGUGAUUGGCAGCCGGCGUACUGGUCCCGGAGCGCAGCACAUGUCGCGCAAACGAGUGCCUUGGUACGGCGGCGUCCAUAAGCCCCUCUCUCACGCUCUUGACCUCGGAUCAGGUAGGGAUACCCGCUGAACUUAAGC